CGACCGGCGCACGGGUGAGUAACGCGUAUGUAAUCUACCUGUAACAGAGGGAUAACCCGGAGAAAUCCGGACUAAUACCUCAUAGCACAUAUUAUUCGCAUGAACUUUAUGUUAAAGAGACUCGGUUACAGAUGAACAUGCGUUCCAUUAGCUAGUUGGCGGGGUUACGGCCCACCAAGGCAACGAUGGAUAGGGGUUCUGAGAGGAAGGUCCCCCACACUGGUACUGAGACACGGACCAG
RNAcentral lists this ribosomal RNA (241 nucleotides) under uncultured bacterium. RNAcentral's name for it is "partial 16S ribosomal RNA". It matches the Rfam family "Bacterial small subunit ribosomal RNA", at positions 92 to 334 of the family's 1533-position model. The record is from RNAcentral.